GAUGAAGAACGUAGCGAAAUGCGAUAAGUAAUGUGAAUUGCAGAAUUCAGUGAAUCAUCGAAUCUUUGAACGCACAUUGCGCCCGCCAGUAUUCUGGCGGGCAUGCCUGUUCGAGCGUCAUUUCAACCAUCAAGCCCCAGGCUUGUGUUGGGGACCUGCGGCUGCCGCAGGCCCUGAAAACCAGUGGCGGGCUCGCUGUCACACCGGGCGUAGUAGAUUUUAUCUCGCUCAGGGCGUGCUGCGGGUUCCGGCCGUUAAAAAGCCUUUUUUACCCAAGGUUGACCUCGGAUCAGGUAGGAAUACCCGCUGAACUUAAGCAUAUCAAUAAGCGAGGA
RNAcentral lists this unclassified non-coding RNA (335 nucleotides) under soil metagenome. Its description in RNAcentral is "partial contains 5.8S ribosomal RNA, internal transcribed spacer 2, and large subunit ribosomal RNA". The stretch from base 1 to 120 matches the Rfam family "5.8S ribosomal RNA", at positions 35 to 154 of the family's 154-position model. The record is from RNAcentral.